This 28-nucleotide non-coding RNA is filed under the name Homo sapiens (human). Lineage: Eukaryota; Metazoa; Chordata; Mammalia; Primates; Hominidae. The record is from RNAcentral.
UCAUCCCAGAGACUGAUGCCGUGGGUGU